Piedraia hortae CBS 480.64 is the source of this 108-nucleotide non-coding RNA. The record is from the annotation of a GenBank genome assembly. Lineage: Eukaryota; Fungi; Ascomycota; Dothideomycetes; Capnodiales; Piedraiaceae.
GCCCGGAUAGUUUAAUGGUUAGAACGUGGGUCUCAUACAACCCCGGGUGUGAUCGAACUCUAAAGUUCGGGCCAUCCCAAGAUCUGAGUUCGAUUCUCAGUCCAGGCA